CUGCGAAAGGAUCAUU
This 16-nucleotide ribosomal RNA is filed under the name Sirococcus cf. conigenus 01-42. RNAcentral describes it as "partial 18S ribosomal RNA". The record is from RNAcentral. Lineage: Eukaryota; Fungi; Ascomycota; Sordariomycetes; Diaporthales.